GUCCACGCCGUAAACGAUGGAUACUAGCUGUUGGUGGCAACUUCAGUGGCUAAGCGAAAGUGAUAAGUAUCCCACCUGGGGAGUACGUUCGCAAGAAUGAAACUCAAAAGGAAUUGACGGGGCCCCGCACAAGCGGUGGAGCAUGUGGUUUAAUUCGAUGAUACGCGAGGAACCUUACCAAGGCUUAAAUGUAGAUUGACCGUUUUGGAAACAGAACUUUCGCAAGACAAUUUACAAGGUGCUGCAUGGUUGUCGU
Molecule: ribosomal RNA, 256 nt
Filed under: uncultured bacterium
Lineage: Bacteria
Description: partial 16S ribosomal RNA
Rfam family: Bacterial small subunit ribosomal RNA
Source: RNAcentral